GGGGAAUUGAAGACCAUGAUAUGACCAGCUUUGAAAGAGUGAUGGAGGCAGAAAGCCUGUCAGUGUAUUUAAGAGUGAGCUGAAAAUAGAGUCCACAGGCUCGCAGGUAGACAGUAGUGAUGUUGAGGAACUGGUGGAGGAACACUCAGAGGAACUGUCUACAGAGGAACUUCAGCAAGUUCUGGCUGAGCAAAGAAUUGCAGCUGAGGAGCUUUCUGCAGAGGAGGGGGAGUAUCAACAAUCAGUGCAGCAAAGUUCUUCUGAAAUAAAGGAAAUUCUGAAAAAAUGGACAGAGCUACACACAUUUGUAGGGAAGACCCACCCAGACAGAGAAAAAGCCAAUCAUUGAAUUCACUUGCUUAAUGACAAUGUCAUGUCAUACUACAGAACAGUGUUAAAGAAAAGACAGAAACAGACAAACUUAGACCAGUUUUCAGUUCCAAAAAGGUAUAGAUCUAGUGAGCUAGGAGCACGUCCUAGUGGGCUACAGACUCUCCCAGGGAGAAAAAAGGACACCAGAGAGCCAGAUUCCUAAUGUUCUUAUGGAAAGGGACUCUCUUUCCAAACAAUAAUCACUUGCCAUUUCAUUCUCUCUUCCUGCAAACCAAAGUUGUCAACUUGAAUGAGAUGAAGCAGAGUUGGAUAUAACCUUGGUGAGCUUACUAGGUGAUACUUAUCCUGGGAUGCUUAUAUAAUGGAACAGUGAUACUCUUAAAACUGGAGAACUGGAGUCAAGCAGCAACAGGAAGAUACAAGAAUGACACCUAUACACUUCUGAGACCAUGGAGAAAGAAAGAGGCAGCCACCAUCCUGGAGAAGCAGUAUCUUCAGUGGGCAGACACCUGGUAUACCAGGGUAAGGGUAAGGAACCUUCAGAAAGAAGGUUCUGUGCAGGAGGGUUGUGCUGCUGCUACAUUAUGAGUUCCAAAUUGUAGGGGGGUGGGAAGGUUUGGAGAAUUGGUAAAAGUGGAAAAUUGAAUCAGACAAUGGAUUUUCAGAGCAUAGUGGGGUGAAAAUAUAAAAGAUGACCCAGAGAGCUGGGACUUUUUAUAUAAAGUAAGGCA
Molecule: long non-coding RNA, 1064 nt
Organism: Heterocephalus glaber (naked mole-rat)
Lineage: Eukaryota; Metazoa; Chordata; Mammalia; Rodentia; Bathyergidae
Source: Ensembl